This 499-nucleotide ribosomal RNA is filed under the name uncultured Lachnospiraceae bacterium. RNAcentral's name for it is "partial 16S ribosomal RNA". The record is from RNAcentral. Lineage: Bacteria; Bacillati; Bacillota; Clostridia; Lachnospirales; Lachnospiraceae.
CACGUAGUUAGCCGGGGCUUCUUAGUCAGGUACCGUCAUUUUCUUCCCUGCUGAUAGAGCUUUACAUACCGAAAUACUUCUUCACUCACGCGGCGUCGCUGCAUCAGGGUUUCCCCCAUUGUGCAAUAUUCCCCACUGCUGCCCCCCGUAGGAGUUUGGGCCGUGUCUCAGUCCCAAUGUGGCCGUCCGCCCUCUCAGGCCGGCUACCGAUCGUCGCUUUGGUGGGCCGUUACCCCGCCAACUGGCUAAUCAGACGCGGAUCCAUCGUAUGCCGAUAAAUCUUUUCACACCGUACCAUGCGGUACUGUGCGUCUUAUGCGGUAUUAGCAGCUGUUCCAACUGUUACUCCCCCUGCAUACGGCAGGUUACUCCACGUCGUUACUCCACCCGUCCGCCACUAACUCGGAAUCACUUAGGUUUCAACUCCGACGUCCCGUUCGACCUUGCUAUGUGUUAGCACGCCGCCAGUCGUCAUCCUGACGCCAGGACUACAAACUCU